RNAcentral lists this ribosomal RNA (479 nucleotides) under uncultured bacterium. RNAcentral describes it as "SSU rRNA". It matches the Rfam family "Bacterial small subunit ribosomal RNA", at positions 26 to 518 of the family's 1533-position model. The record is from RNAcentral.
AGGACGAACGCUGGCGGCGUGCCUAACACAUGCAAGUCGAACGAGAUCCAUGGAAGCUUGCUUCUUGAAGAUCUAGUGGCUAACGGGUGAGUAACACGUGAGCAACCUGCCCUGGAAUCGGGGAUAACUCGAGGAAACUCGAGCUAAUACCGGAUACCUUCCCUUGGCCGCAUGACCGAGGGAAGAAAGAAUUUCGUUCCAGGAGGGGCUCGCGGCCUAUCAGUUUGUUGGCGGGGUAACGGCCCACCAAGACUACGACGGGUAGCUGGUUUGAGAGAACGAUCAGCCACACUGGGACUGAGACACGGCCCAGACUCCUACGGGAGGCAGCAGUGGGGAAUCUUGCGCAAUGGGCGAAAGCCUGACGCAGCAACGCCGCGUGCGGGAUGACGGCCUUCGGGUUGUAAACCGCUUUCAGGAGGGACGAAAAUGACGGUACCUCCAGAAGAAGCCCCGGCUAACUACGUGCCAGCAGCCGC